RNAcentral lists this ribosomal RNA (492 nucleotides) under uncultured bacterium. RNAcentral's name for it is "partial 16S ribosomal RNA". It matches the Rfam family "Bacterial small subunit ribosomal RNA", at positions 29 to 507 of the family's 1533-position model. The record is from RNAcentral.
AGUGAACGCUGGCGGUAGGCCUAACACAUGCGAGUCGAACGGCAGCACAGUAAGAGCUUGCUCUUACGGGUGGCGAGUGGCGGACGGGUGAGGAAUACAUCGGAAUCUACUUUUUCGUGGGGGAUAACGUAGGGAAACUUACGCUAAUACCGCAUACGACCUACGGGUGAAAGCAGGGGAUCUUCGGACCUUGCGCGAUUGAAUGAGCCGAUGUCGGAUUAGCUAGUUGGCGGGGUAAAGGCCCACCAAGGCGACGAUCCGUAGCUGGUCUGAGAGGAUGAUCAGCCACACUGGAACUGAGACACGGCCCAGACUCCUACGGGAGGCAGCAGUGGGGAAUAUUGGACAAUGGGCGCAAGCCUGAUCCAGCCAUACCGCGUGAGUGAAGAAGGCCUUCGGGUUGUAAAGCCCUUUUGUAGGGAAAGAAAAGCAGCAGGUUAAUACCCCGCUGUUCUGACGGUACCCAAAGAAUAAGCACCGGCUAACUUCGUG